RNAcentral lists this ribosomal RNA (591 nucleotides) under Aureobasidium sp. YM26013. RNAcentral's name for it is "eukaryotic LSU rRNA". It matches the Rfam family "Eukaryotic large subunit ribosomal RNA", at positions 67 to 664 of the family's 3401-position model. The record is from RNAcentral. Lineage: Eukaryota; Fungi; Ascomycota; Dothideomycetes; Dothideales; Saccotheciaceae.
GAGGGGGUUUUGCCCAUAGUAACGCACGAGUGAGCGGCAAUAGCUCAAAUUUGAAAGCUGGCCUUCGGGUCCGCAUUGUAAUUUGUAGAGGAUGCUUUGGGGCAGCCGCCUGUCUAAGUUCCUUGGAACAGGACGUCAUAGAGGGUGAGAAUCCCGUAUGUGACAGGACAUGGCACCCUAUGUAAAGCUCCUUCGACGAGUCGAGUUGUUUGGGAAUGCAGCUCUAAAUGGGAGGUAAAUUUCUUCUAAAGCUAAAUACUGGCGAGAGACCGAUAGCGCACAAGUAGAGUGAUCGAAAGAUGAAAAGCACUUUGGAAAGAGAGUUAAAAAGCACGUGAAAUUGUUGAAAGGGAAGCGCUUGCAAUCAGACUUGUUCUGACUGUUCGGCCGGUCUUCUGACCGGUUUAUUCAGUCUGGGCAGGCCAGCAUCAGUUUCGGCGGUCGGAUAAAGGCCUUGGGAAUGUGGCUCUGCCUUCGGGUAGAGUGUUAUAGCCCAGGGUGUAAUACGGCCAGCCGGGACUGAGGUCCGCGCUUCGGCUAGGAUGCUGGCGUAAUGGUUGUAAGCGACCCGUCUUGAACCCACGGACACAA